Molecule: ribosomal RNA, 443 nt
Filed under: uncultured bacterium
Lineage: Bacteria
Description: partial 16S ribosomal RNA
Rfam family: Bacterial small subunit ribosomal RNA
Source: RNAcentral
CCUACGGGAGGCAGCAGUGGGGAAUAUUGGGCAAUGGGCGCAAGCCUGACCCAGCAACGCCGCGUGAAGGAAGAAGGCUUUCGGGUUGUAAACUUCUUUUCUCAGGGACGAAGCAAGUGACGGUACCUGACGAAUAAGCCACGGCUAACUACGUGCCAGCAGCCGCGGUAAUACGUAGGUGGCAAGCGUUAUCCGGAUUUAUUGGGUGUAAAGGGCGUGUAGGCGGGAGCGCAAGUCAGAUGUGAAAACGCAGGGCUCAACCCUGAGCGUGCAUUUGAAACUGUGUUGCUUGAGUGCUGGAGAGGCAAGCGGAAUUCCGGGUGUAGCGGUGAAAUGCGUAGAUAUACGGAGGAACACCAGUGGCGAAGGCGGAUUGCUGGACAGUAACUGACGCUGAGGCGCGAAAGCGUGGGGAGCAAACAGGAUUAGAUACCCUAGUAGUC